UAGAGUUUGAUCGUGGCUCAGGAUCAACGCUGGCGGCGUGCCUAAUGCAUGCAAGUCGAGCGGGGAUCACUUCGGUGAUCUUACGCGGCGGACGGGUGCGUAACACGUGGGCAACCUGCCCCGAGGUGGGGGAUAGCCGUGGGAAACCGCGGGUAAUUCCGCAUACGCUCACUGGUCGGCAGGACGAGUGAGGAAAGGGUCUUCGGACUCGCCUGGGGAGGGGCCUGCGGCCGAUUAGCUAGUUGGGGGGGUAACGGCCUCCCAAGGCGACGAUUGGUAGCUGGUCUGAGAGGACGGCCAGCCACACGGGGACUGAGACACGGCCCCGACUCCUACGGGAGGCAGCAGCAAGGAAUCUUCCGCAAUGGGCGACAGCCUGACGGAGCAACGCCGCGUGCGGGAUGACGCCCUUCGGGGUGUAAACCGCUUUUCUUCCGGAAGAACGUGGCGCAAGCCACCUGACGGUACGGGAGGAAGAAGGACCGGCUAACUACGUGCCAGCAGCCGCGGUAAUACGUAGGGUCCGAGCGUUGUCCGGAGUUACUGGGCGUAAAGCGCGCGCAGGCGGCGGUGUCAGCAUGGCGUGAAAGCCCCAGGCUCAACCUGGGAGGGUCGUCGUGGACUGCACCGCUUGAGGGCGGUAGGGGCUGGUGGAAUGCCUGGUGUAGUGGUGAAAUGCGUAGAGAUCAGCGGAACACCCGUGGCGAAAGCGGCCAGCUGGGCCGUCCCUGACGCUGAGCGCGAAGCGUGGGAGCGAACGGGAUAGAUACCCGGUAGUCCACGCAGUUAACCGAUGCCGACUAAGCGUGGGGGAGUGACCCCCUCCGUGCCGGAACCCACGCGGGAAGUCUACCGCCUUGAGAGUUACGCCCCUAGGCUAUACUCCAAGAAUUGACUGGGGAC
RNAcentral lists this ribosomal RNA (903 nucleotides) under uncultured bacterium. RNAcentral's name for it is "bacterial SSU rRNA". It matches the Rfam family "Bacterial small subunit ribosomal RNA", at positions 1 to 921 of the family's 1533-position model. The record is from RNAcentral.